GGUUGAUCCUGCCAGUAGUCAUAUGCUUGUCUCAAAGAUUAAGCCAUGCAUGUCUAAGUUCAAGCAAAAAUAAUGUGAAACCGCGAAUGGCUCAUUAUAUCAGUUAUGGUUCCUUAGAUCGCACUUACUACUUGGAUAACUGUGGUAAUUCUAGAGCUAAUACAUGCGUUGGACUCCGAACUUUACGGUGAGGAGUGCUUUUAUUAGAUCAAAGCCAAUCGGGUCUUCGGAUUCGUUUAGUUGGUGACUCUGAAUAACUUUGCUGAUCGCACGGCCUUGCACCGGCGACGUAUCUUUCAAGUGUCUGCCUUAUCAACUGUCGAUGGUAGGUUAUGCGCCUACCAUGGUUGUAACGGGUAACGGGGAAUCAGGGUUCGAUUCCGGAGAGGGAGCCUGAGAAACGGCUACCACAUCCAAGGAAGGCAGCAGGCGCGCAAAUUACCCACUCCCGGCACGGGGAGGUAGUGACGAAAAAUAACGAUACGGAACUCAUACGGGGCGCCGUAAUCGGAAUGAGUACACUUUAAAUCCUUUAACGAGGAUCUAUUGGAGGGCAAGUCUGGUGCCAGCAGCCGCGGUAAUUCCAGCUCCAAUAGCGUAUAUUAAAGUUGUUGUGGUUAAAAAGCUCGUAGUUGGAUCUCGGUUUCGGGUGAAUGGUGCACCUUGCGGUGUUUACUAUUUAUUCGGACGAUUUUGUUGGUUCGUUCCUGGUUCUCUUAAUCGAGUGCCUUGAGUGGCCAACACGUUUACUUUGAAAAAAUUGGAGUGCUCAAGGCAGGCGCUACAGCCUGAACAUUAGUGCAUGGAAUAAUGGAAUAGGAUCUCGGUUCUAUUUCGUUGGCUUUCGGAGUCGAGGUAAUGAUUAAUAGGGACAGACGGGGGCAUUCGUACUGCGACGUUAGAGGUGAAAUUCUUGGAUCGUCGCAAGACGAACUACUGCGAAAGCAUUUGCCAAGAAUGUUUUCAUUAAUCAAGAACGAAAGUUAGAGGUUCGAAGGCGAUCAGAUACCGCCCUAGUUCUAACCAUAAACGAUGUCGACCGGCAAUCUGCUCUCGUUAAAUUAAUAACUGAGCAGGCGGCCUGCUGGAAACAAGAGUAUUUGGAUUCCAGGGGGAGUAUGGUUGCAAAGCUGAAACUUAAAAGAAUUGACGGAAGGGCACCACCAGGAGUGGAGCCUGCGGCUUAAUUUGACCCAACACGGGAAAUCUCACCAGGCCCGGACACCGGAAGGAUUGACAGAUUGAGAGCUCUUUCUUGAUUCGGUGGGUGGUGGUGCAUGGCCGUUCUUAGUUGGUGGAGCGAUUUGUCUGGUUAAUUCCGAUAACGAACGAGACUCUGGCCUACUAAAUAGACGUCAAGUCUUCU
RNAcentral lists this ribosomal RNA (1366 nucleotides) under metagenome. Its description in RNAcentral is "SSU rRNA". It matches the Rfam family "Eukaryotic small subunit ribosomal RNA", at positions 6 to 1372 of the family's 1831-position model. The record is from RNAcentral.